CUUGAACGUCAUCGUGGCGACAAUGGCGCCUCUCCUUCCCUCUUUUCUCUCUCUCUCUCUCUCUCGCCACUGACCUGACGCCGAAAGGAAAAGCGCGACGAGCAACGGCCGCUCGCCAGCUAUGGCCAAUCAAGAGACGGAUUCAACAUGUCAUUGCAAUAUACAAUUUUCAAUGUUGUUGACAGCAACCAGACUGAAAAUCACCAAGAAAAGGAAAUCAAGAGACAACCAACCCUUGAGAACUGGCUUAAAAGAUUAUGGUGUACUUUUCCAUUCCUGAAAAGUUGACAUUUGAAUUAAGGUCUUUGCAUAAUGGAAACCAGUAUGACAACUUUGUUUCAGUACAGUAUAAAUUUAUUCUUUUUGCGUAUGAAGAAACAUCAACAGCAAAAACAGCUGCAGUUGGGAGAAACCCAUUUUAACAGGCAUGCGAUUGCCUACACAAGGCAAGGUGUGAAGGGCCCACAUACUUUACAAUGAUGUGUAUUAAGAACUUUUUCUGCAUUUGUUCUGAUGGAAUACUUUUUCUAUUGCUGCCAAAACAUGAAAAUAAAAUAUUUUUUUUCAAAAAGGAA
This is a long non-coding RNA of Anolis carolinensis (green anole), 575 nucleotides long. RefSeq lists it as uncharacterized. The record is from RefSeq and is a predicted model, not a curated record. The transcript is spliced from 2 exons. NCBI's taxonomy places the organism in Eukaryota, Metazoa, Chordata, Lepidosauria, Squamata, Anolidae.